AAAAAAAGACAGCUGCAGGUGUUUACUCCAAAUGCCAUUCAGUGUGUGUCUAGACCAGCAAAGAGCAUUUUCUUAGCUGAACAAAAUAUUCAGAACACCAAAUGAGCACGAUGCUGGGUAGUGCUGAGCCCCUGCAGCUCGUGGGGUUCAGAGGGAUGCAGCAGACCUGGCUAAUGGCACAUGAAUGCAGACAGGCACAGACAAACGUGUGAGACCUGCCUUCUGAGGCAUUUUGCACCACUCCCAAAGAAGAUAACUGAAUUACAGACGUUUGGAUCUGCUAGAGCACUGGCUUAAUGGUCUGGCCGCUUCCAUACAGCAAAUAUGAUGCUGACAGCCUGGGCUCAUUUUGACUGCUAGGGGUUGCCUGAAGAAGUGUCCCAUCUUCCCAUGGUGUGGGUGAGCUACCUUGGACCAGGCCCUGGUGGCUGGAAAACAACAGCAGAUGACUCUAGGUGAGCACUGGAAUAUGCAACUGACAAAGCCCCAUGGAAGUCUUCACCUUCUGUCUUUGAAAGUGUGCUGUCUGCCUGUCUUCAAGGAAUGGCUGCAGCAAACAC
RNAcentral lists this long non-coding RNA (560 nucleotides) under Gallus gallus (chicken). The record is from RNAcentral. Lineage: Eukaryota; Metazoa; Chordata; Aves; Galliformes; Phasianidae.